GUGAGGAAUAUUGGUCAAUGGUCGGAAGACUGAACCAGCCAUGCCGCGUGCAGGAAGACGGUCCUAUGGAUUGUAAACUGCUUUUAUUUGGGAAUAAACUCCGGUACGUGUACCGGCCUGAAGGUACCAAAUGAAUAAGCACCGGCUAACUCCGUGCCAGCAGCCGCGGUAAUACGGAGGGUGCAAGCGUUAUCCGGAAUCAUUGGGUUUAAAGGGUCCGCAGGCGGUCUUAUAAGUCAGUGGUGAAAGCCUACAGCUCAACUGUAGAACUGCCAUUGAUACUGUAGGACUUGAAUUCGAUCUAAGUGGGCGGAAUGUGACAUGUAGCGGUGAAAUGCUUAGAUAUGUCACAGAACACCGAUAGCGAAGGCAGCUCACUAGGUCUGGAUUGACGCUCAGGGACGAAAGCGUGGGGAGCAAACAGGAUUAGAAACCCCGGUAGUCC
RNAcentral lists this ribosomal RNA (445 nucleotides) under uncultured bacterium. RNAcentral describes it as "partial 16S ribosomal RNA". It matches the Rfam family "Bacterial small subunit ribosomal RNA", at positions 354 to 796 of the family's 1533-position model. The record is from RNAcentral.